CAGCAGCCGCGGUAAUACAGAGGGUGCGAGCGUUAAUCGGAUUUACUGGGCGUAAAGCGUGCGUAGGCGGCUUUUUAAGUCGGAUGUGAAAUCCCUGAGCUUAACUUAGGAAUUGCAUUCGAUACUGGGAAGCUAGAGUAUGGGAGAGGAUGGUAGAAUUCCAGGUGUAGCGGUGAAAUGCGUAGAGAUCUGGAGGAAUACCGAUGGCGAAGGCAGCCAUCUGGCCUAAUACUGACGCUGAGGUACGAAAGCAUGGGGAGAAAACAGGAUUAGAUACCCCAGUAGUCCCUGUCUCUUAUAC
RNAcentral lists this ribosomal RNA (301 nucleotides) under uncultured bacterium. Its description in RNAcentral is "partial 16S ribosomal RNA". It matches the Rfam family "Bacterial small subunit ribosomal RNA", at positions 509 to 807 of the family's 1533-position model. The record is from RNAcentral.